RNAcentral lists this ribosomal RNA (497 nucleotides) under uncultured bacterium. RNAcentral's name for it is "partial 16S ribosomal RNA". It matches the Rfam family "Bacterial small subunit ribosomal RNA", at positions 28 to 507 of the family's 1533-position model. The record is from RNAcentral.
GACGAACGCUGGCGGCGUGCCUAAUACAUGCAAGUAGAACGCUGAAGAGAGGAGCUUGCUCUUCUUGGAUGAGUUGCGAACGGGUGAGUAACGCGUAGGUAACCUGCCUUGUAGCGGGGGAUAACUAUUGGAAACGAUAGCUAAUACCGCAUAACAAUGGAUGACACAUGUCAUUUAUUUGAAAGGGGCAAUUGCUCCACUACAAGAUGGACCUGCGUUGUAUUAGCUAGUAGGUGAGGUAAUGGCUCACCUAGGCGACGAUACAUAGCCGACCUGAGAGGGUGAUCGGCCACACUGGGACUGAGACACGGCCCAGACUCCUACGGGAGGCAGCAGUAGGGAAUCUUCGGCAACGGGGGCAACCCUGACCGAGCAACGCCGCGUGAGUGAAGAAGGGUUUCGGAUCGUAAAGCUCGGUUGUAAGUCAAGAACGGGUGUGAGAGUGGAAAGUUCACACUGUGACGGUAGCUUACCAGAAAGGGACGGCUAACUACGUG